UACGGGGGGCAAGCGUUGUCCGGAAUUAUUGGGCGUAAAGAGCUCGUAGGCGGUUUGUUGCGUCGGCUGUGAAAUCCCGAGGCUCAACCUCGGGUCUGCAGUCGAUACGAGCAAACUAGAGUGUUUGCAGGGGAGACUGGAAUUCCUGGUGUAGCGGUGAAAUGCGCAGAUAUCAGGAGGAACACCGGUGGCGAAGGUGGGUCUCUGGGCAACAACUGACGCUGAGGAGCGAAAGCGUGGGGAGCGAACAGG
This 252-nucleotide ribosomal RNA is filed under the name uncultured bacterium. RNAcentral describes it as "partial 16S ribosomal RNA". It matches the Rfam family "Bacterial small subunit ribosomal RNA", at positions 526 to 776 of the family's 1533-position model. The record is from RNAcentral.